UACACGACCGUACCGCAAACCGACACUGGUGCGCGAGAUGAGUAUUCUAAGGCGCUUGAGAGAACUCAGGAGAAGGAACUCGGCAAAUUGACACCGUAACUUCGGAAGAAGGUGUGCCUUUAGUAAGUGAGGUCCCUCGCGGAUGGAGCUGAGAAAGGUUGCAAAAAAUCGGUGGCUGCGACUGUUUAUUAAAAACACAGCACUCUGCAAACACGAAAGUGGACGUAUAGGGUGUGACGCCUGCCCGGUGCUGGAAGAUUAAAUGAUGGGGUGCAAGCUCUUGAUUGAAGUCCCAGUGAACGGCGGCCGUAACUAUAACGGUCCUAAGGUAGCGAAAUUCCUUGUCGGGUAAGUUCCGACCUGCACGAAUGGCGUAACGAUGGCCACACUGUCUCCUCCUGAGACUCAGCGAAGUUGAAAUGUUUGUGAUGAUGCAAUCUCCCCGCGGAAAGACGGAAAGACCCCAUGAACCUUUACUGUAGCUUUGUAUUGGACUUUGAACAGAUCUGUGUAGGAUAGGUGGGAGGCUUUGAAGCAGGGUCGCUAGAUCUUGUGGAGCCAACGUUGAAAUACCACCCUGGUGUGUUUGAGGUUCUAACCUAGGUCCAUUAUCUGGAUCGGGGACAGUGCAUGGUAGGCAGUUUGACUGGGGCGGUCUCCUCCCAAAGCGUAACGGAGGAGUUCGAAGGUACGCUAGUUACGGUCGGACAUCGUGACGAUAGUGCAAUGGCAUAAGCGUGCUUAACUGCGAGACUGACAAGUCGAGCAGAUGCGAAAGCAGGACAUAGUGAUCCGGUGGUUCUGUAUGGAAGGGCCAUCGCUCAACGGAUAAAAGGUACUCUGGGGAUAACAGGCUGAUACCGCCCAAGAGUUCAUAUCGACGGCGGUGUUUGGCACCUCGAUGUCGGCUCAUCUCAUCCUGGGGCUGUAGCCGGUCCCAAGGGUAUGGCUGUUCGCCAUUUAAAGAGGUACGUGAGCUGGGUUUAAAACGUCGUGAGACAGUUUGGUCCCUAUCUUCCGUGGGCGCUGCAGAUUUGAGGAAGCCUGCUCCUAGUACGAGAGGACCGGAGUGGACACACCUCUGGUGUAUCGGUUGUCACGCCAGUGGCAUUGCCGAGUAGCUAUGUGUGGAAGAGAUAACCGCUGAAAGCAUCUAAGCGGGAAACUCGUUUCAAGAUGAGAUCUGCCGGGGCCUUGAGCCCCCUGAAGAGUCGUUCAAGACCAGGACGUUGAUAGGCAGGGUGUGGAAGC
This 1251-nucleotide ribosomal RNA is filed under the name metagenome. RNAcentral's name for it is "bacterial LSU rRNA". It matches the Rfam family "Bacterial large subunit ribosomal RNA", at positions 1635 to 2874 of the family's 2925-position model. The record is from RNAcentral.